GGAGGCCCCGCUGUUUUCCCUUCGAGAUCUCUGUUCCUCCUUUUCCCUCUUUGCCGUCGGCCCUGCGUGUAGCUCCCGCUGCUCUGACCUUAAAUAGGCCCUAGGGCGGUGGGGGAGAAGAGUUAGAGCUGGGAAAACCCGUGUGCGGCCCUGAAGAGUUCUUGGCCGGUGUAAAGGAUGACUUCACUUUUUUCCCCAUCAGAUCGACAAUGUUGAUGUCGUUUAACACUUGCCAGUUAGUUCUGAUACACCGGCCUUGAAAGGCCCGGCCACGUUCUUGCUCGACCAUGGGAAGACAGCGAUUGAUGCCCUUUCUUUGUUGGUUCGCAGGGUAGCGGGAUCAGAGGGUACAGAAUGGAUUUUGGAGGAGGGGGUCGCUGCUGGGCCUCCAAGGGAAGCCCGUGUAGACAUCUACAACCUGCGGUCUCCUGAUCUCUGGGUAAGCAUUUGUCUGCUAUUGUAGGAAACGCGUGUUCUGAGGAGCCUCUUAGUUUGCUAGGUUAACUUGGAAAAAAUUGAAGACUAACGGUAGCUAGAUUUAUUAAGCAUUUUUUAGCUACUAGGUAUUUUUUAAAGUGUUUUGGAUGCUUUAUUUUCUUAAAAUUCUUAAAAAUGUACCUAAAGGUUGCUGGGGAAGAAACAAAGCUUAAAAAAUAAUUCCCCAAAAUGGAAUGAUCUUUUUAAAGUGAGUAGGUGUUAUUUUUUUGAUGUCAUUUUAAUAUCCCUAAAAGCACGUUUUUGGAUUCUAUUCCUCCAUGUGUUUCUUGAUAAACAGCUUUCCUGUGCCAUUAAAUUUCCAAGUGGAUGGAUUAUGUGGCAUUUUUUCUUUUUAUUUAUUUAUUUUUUUUGUGAGAAAGAUCAGCCCUGAGCUAACAUCCAUGCCAGUCCUCCUCUUUUUGCUGAGGAAGACUGGCCCUGGGCUAACAUCUAUGCCUGUCUUCCUCCACUUCAUAUGUGACGCUGCCACAGCAUGGCCUGACAAGCAGUGCGUCGGUGCGAGCCCAGGAUCGGAACCCGGGCUGGCAGCAGCACAGCGCGUGCCCGUGGCAUUUUUUAAAGGAAAGCCAAAUGUGUGUUUCUGUUGACUUAGCCACUCAAACUAGUUAUCAACUGCCUAACAGUUAAAUUUGUUUGAGUCCAGGAAUAAUGCCUUAAAGACGGGAUGACCUGGGGGACACAUUUUUUUUUAAACUUUGCUGUCCCAGAGUGUUCCUUUAAUUCAGGUUUUUAGUGAUGAUAUCUUGCCUUAAAAUGUAACAUCCUGACACUUGUUCAAAACCCUGCCGUCACUUCUCACCUUAGUGAAAACCAAGCAUUUCCGCACAACUCUUGCCAGCCACUCUGGCUUCUGUCAUGUAAACUCAGAAGGCAGGGGUGUUUGUCUUAGCUGCUAGUUUCAUGUUGCUAACAGUGGGACACAAAAGUGCUUGAAUAUUGAAUGAAUUUGCUGGUAUAGAAGUGGACCAACAAAAUCUUAUUCCUGAUUCAGAGCUCUUUGUCUAGACGCCAAGAGCUUCCUGCUGGCAUACGUGAUGACUGAACUUUUUUCCCCGACAGAUCGACCAUGUUGAUCUAACUUCUCUAAGCCAGUUUCUGUCUGAUAUGCCAGCUUGAGCAGCUCUUCUAUCCCCCACUCCCUUGGGCAUCUAGCUGUUGUGAGCUCACAUGUCAUUGUUUUCAUCUCAGGUUUGCUGUCUGCAGGAAGCAGACUUAUAAUGGGCCAGGAUGAAGCCGGCAGUGCGAAAUGAUUGGUAAGUGAUGUCCACAUGUCUCCUAGGUGUGCCCCUGCCGCUGUGGCUGAAUACACACAGGAUCUGGAGAAUGGAGGAGGUCAGGAACCAUGAGUGCUGCAGGGCAGUAAGUAGGUUGAUUGCAGUGUGAUCUUCCCCUCGGCAUGAUUCAGUCUUUCCUACAACAGGAGUUCCUCAAUAGUGGAGUUGGAAUACAAGGACUCUUGAAAAGGACUGACCCUGUGUUUUCCUGAGAAAGCUGGUUGAAUCAGUCCACGAGGCUAUUGUAUAGCCUGAGGACUGUCUACAGAGUUGAAAACCUAUUCCCAUUCUGAAGAAUCAAGGAUUAUUUUAA
This is a long non-coding RNA of Diceros bicornis minor, 2085 nucleotides long. RefSeq lists it as uncharacterized. The record is from RefSeq and is a predicted model, not a curated record. Lineage: Eukaryota; Metazoa; Chordata; Mammalia; Perissodactyla; Rhinocerotidae. The transcript has 3 exons.